RNAcentral lists this microRNA (22 nucleotides) under Gadus morhua (Atlantic cod). RNAcentral describes it as "gmo-miR-219-3-3p". Its record names the gene gmo-miR-219-3-3p. Lineage: Eukaryota; Metazoa; Chordata; Actinopteri; Gadiformes; Gadidae. The record is from miRBase by way of RNAcentral.
GGAGUUGUGCAUGGACAUCUAA